UGUGGGUGAGAACUGAUGAGGGACACACGCGUGUGUGGACUUGUGGUGAUCCUAAGCUGCCGAGAAAAGCCUCGACGUGAGGGCAUGACGCGCCCGUACCCUAAACCGACUCAGGUGGUCAGGUAGAGUAUACCGAGGCGUUCGAGUGAAUCGUGGUUAAGGAACUCGGCAAAAUUCCUCCGUAACUUCGGGAUAAGGAGGACCCCGUGACUUCCCCGCGCCGCGCGCGCUGGUGGGGUUGUGGGGUCGCAGAGAAUAGGGAGAAGCGACUGUUUAUCAAAAACACAGGUGCGUGCGAAGCCGUAAGGCGAUGUAUACGCACUGACGCCUGCCCGGUGCUGGAAGGUUAAGAGGAACCGUCAACACUCCUUGUGGGUGUGAAGCGGUGAAUUUAAGCCCCAGUAAACGGCGGUGGUAACUAUAACCAUCCUAAGGUAGCGAAAUUCCUUGUCGGGUAAGUUCCGACCUGCACGAAUGGCGUAACGACUUCUCCGCUGUCUCAACCGCGAACUCGGUGAAAUUGCAGUACGAGUAAAGAUGCUCGUUUCGCGCAGAAGGACGGAAAGACCCCGGGACCUUUACUAUAGCUUGGUAUUGGUGUUCGCUUGGACUUGUGUAGGAUAGGUGGGAGACUGUGAAGCUGCCGCGCCAGCGGUGGUGGAGUCGUCGUUGAAAUACCAUUCUGGUUCAAGCGGUCACCUCAACCUUGGCCCGUAAUCCGGGUUGGGGACAGUGCCUGGUGGGUAGUUUAACUGGGGCGGUUGCCUCCUAAAAUGUAACGGAGGCGCUCAAAGGUUCCCUCAGCCUGGUUGGUAAUCAGGUGGCGAGUGCAAGUGUACAAAGGAGCUUGACUGUGAGACCGACGGGUCGAGCAGGUGCGAAAGCAGGAACUAGUGAUCCGGCCAUGGCACGUGGGUGCGUGGUCGCUCAACGGAUAAAAGGUACCCCGGGGAUAACAGGCUGAUCUUGCCCAAGAGUCCAUAUCGACGGCAUGGUUUGGCACCUCGAUGUCGGCUCGUCGCAUCCUGGGGCUGGAGUUGGUCCCAAGGGUUGGGCUGUUCGCCCAUUAAAGCGGUACGCGAGCUGGGUUCAGAACGUCGUGAGACAGUUCGGUCCCUAUCCUCUGUGCGCGCAGGAAAUUUGAGAAGGGCCGUCCCUAGUACGAGAGGACCGGGAUGGACGAACCUCUGGUGUGCCAGUUGUACCGCCAGGUGCAUGGCUGGUUGGCUACGUUCGGAAGGGAUAACCGCUGAAAGCAUCUAAGCGGGAAGCCUGCUUCAAGAUGAGAUUUCCACGCCCCCCAGUGGGGUGAGAGGCCCCCGCCAGACUAGCGGGUUGAUAGGCCAGAGGUGGAAGCACAGCAAUGUGCUCGUGAGCCGACUGGUACUAAUGGGCCAACACC
Molecule: ribosomal RNA, 1402 nt
Filed under: metagenome
Description: bacterial LSU rRNA
Rfam family: Bacterial large subunit ribosomal RNA
Source: RNAcentral